This 253-nucleotide ribosomal RNA is filed under the name uncultured bacterium. Its description in RNAcentral is "partial 16S ribosomal RNA". It matches the Rfam family "Bacterial small subunit ribosomal RNA", at positions 524 to 776 of the family's 1533-position model. The record is from RNAcentral.
UACGUAGGGUGCGAGCGUUAAUCGGAAUUACUGGGCGUAAAGCGUGCGCAGGCGGUGAUGUAAGACCGAUGUGAAAUCCCCGGGCUUAACCUGGGAACUGCAUUGGUGACUGCAUCGCUCGAGUAUGGCAGAGGGGGGUAGAAUUCCACGUGUAGCAGUGAAAUGCGUAGAGAUGUGGAGGAAUACCGAUGGCGAAGGCAGCCCCCUGGGCUAACACUGACACUCAUGCACGAAAGCGUGGGGAGCAAACAGG